This 505-nucleotide ribosomal RNA is filed under the name uncultured bacterium. RNAcentral describes it as "partial 16S ribosomal RNA". It matches the Rfam family "Bacterial small subunit ribosomal RNA", at positions 28 to 507 of the family's 1533-position model. The record is from RNAcentral.
GACGAACGCUGGCGGCGUGCCUAAUACAUGCAAGUAGAACGCACAGUUUAUACCGUAGCUUGCCACACCAUAGACUGUGAGUUGCGAACGGGUGAGUAACGCGUAGGUAACCUGCCUGGUAGCGGGGGAUAACUAUUGGAAACGAUAGCUAAUACCGCAUAAUAUUGAUUAUUGCAUGAUAAUUGAUUGAAAGAUGCUAUUGCAUCACUACCAGAUGGACUUGCGUUGUAUUAGCUAGUAGGUGAGGUAACGGCUCACCUGGGCGACGAUACAUAGCCGACCUGGGAGGGUGGUCGGCCACACUGGGACGGAGACACGGCCCAGACGCCUUGGGGAGGCAGCAGUAGGGAAUCUUCGGCAAUGGGCGGAAGUCUGACCGAGCAAGGCCGAGUGAGUGAAGAAGGUUGUCGGAUCGUAAAGCUCUGUUGUAAGAGAAGAACGGGUGUGAGGGUGGAAAGUUCACACUGUGACGGUAUCUUACCAGAAAGGGACGGCUAACUACGUG